AUUUGGCAUUGUCUAUAAGUGAUUGGUGGAAUGGGUCCUGACAGAAGGUGGUGCGCCCACAACCAGAUGGCAAGGCAGCCGUGUGCAAAAGAAAACUUCAAGAAGAAUACAAGAGCCUCUUAGACGGCGAUCUGACCGACUGCCGACCACCCAAUGAGAAC
Long non-coding RNA from Nymphaea colorata (pocket water lily), 161 nucleotides. RefSeq lists it as uncharacterized. NCBI's taxonomy places the organism in Eukaryota, Viridiplantae, Streptophyta, Magnoliopsida, Nymphaeales, Nymphaeaceae. The record is from RefSeq and is a predicted model, not a curated record. The transcript has 3 exons.